AGCUCCACACUCUAGACCAGCACCUACUGCACCUGUUCAAUAAAACAAGAGACUCAGGCCAAUAACUCAAGCUCCUCCUCAGGUUCCAGCAGUAGGGCGCGGUAAGACCUGUCAGCACUGUGGCAAGGAUCAUGGGGAACGAUCCUACUAUCUCCUCAACAACACCUGCUGCAUAUGUGAUAGUGCCCAUCAUUAUGCAAGGGAGUGCCCGAGGAACCAGAAUAAGGUCAGACCUCAUAUCUAGGGUAGGGCUUACAACCUUACUCAGCAGGAUGUAGAAGCCGACCCUGGUACAGGGUAC
This 301-nucleotide long non-coding RNA is filed under the name Carica papaya (papaya). Its description in RNAcentral is "long non-coding RNA (CPAP_LNC004065)". The record is from RNAcentral. Lineage: Eukaryota; Viridiplantae; Streptophyta; Magnoliopsida; Brassicales; Caricaceae.